RNAcentral lists this long non-coding RNA (330 nucleotides) under Rattus norvegicus (Norway rat). RNAcentral's name for it is "long non-coding RNA NONRATT009648". Lineage: Eukaryota; Metazoa; Chordata; Mammalia; Rodentia; Muridae. The record is from RNAcentral.
GCAACAGUGGCAAAGAGGGAAAUAUUGCAGACAAUGAGCAAAACGAUUUCAAAACCUCGAGCAUCUAGGAAAGAAAAUGGACCAGUUGUAGAAACAGUAAAGGUUCCAUUAUCAAAACGAGCAAAAUUCAUUGGGCCUGGUGGAUAUCACUUAAAAAAACUCCAGGCUGAGACAGGUAAGAGUUAUCUCUAGUCUGAGGGUAUUAUUAAGUCCAAACCAUGUAAGUAUGCUAUUUUAUCUCUACUGUAUUACUCUAGGAAUAGAAUUUGAGAGAUAAAAGAAAAACCAGAAGAAAAGUAUAAUGUAUUUACUAUGAGUUUUCUGUGGGAC